RNAcentral lists this transfer RNA (67 nucleotides) under Callista chinensis. RNAcentral's name for it is "tRNA-Cys". The record is from RNAcentral. Lineage: Eukaryota; Metazoa; Mollusca; Bivalvia; Venerida; Veneridae.
GAUUUUGUAGUUUAAAGGUUUAAAAUUCUAAUUUGCAAAAUUAGAGAUGGCUGAGUGUUCAAAAUUU